AGUGAACGCUGGCGGUAGGCCUAACACAUGCAAGUCGAACGGCAGCACAGAGGAGCUUGCUCCUUGGGUGGCGAGUGGCGGACGGGUGAGGAAUACAUCGGAGUCUACUCUGUCGUGGGGGAUAACGUAGGGAAACUUACGCUAAUACCGCAUACGACCUACGGGUGAAAGCAGGGGAUCUUCGGACCUUGCGCGAUUGAAUGAGCCGAUGUCGGAUUAGCUAGUUGGCGGGGUAAAGGCCCACCAAGGCGACGAUCCGUAGCUGGUCUGAGAGGAUGAUAAGCCACACUGGAACGGAGACACGGUCCAGACUCCUACGGGAGGCAGCAGUGGGGAAUAUUGGACAAUGGGCGCAAGCCUGAUCCAGCCAUACCGCGUGGGUGAAGAAGGCCUUCGGGUUGUAAAGCCCUUUUGUUGGGAAAGAAAUCCAUCUGGUUAAUACCCGGAUGGGAUGACGGUACCCAAAGAAUAAGCACCGGCUAACUUCGUGCCAGCCGCCGCAGUAA
This 506-nucleotide ribosomal RNA is filed under the name uncultured bacterium. RNAcentral's name for it is "partial 16S ribosomal RNA". It matches the Rfam family "Bacterial small subunit ribosomal RNA", at positions 29 to 523 of the family's 1533-position model. The record is from RNAcentral.